Molecule: ribosomal RNA, 464 nt
Filed under: uncultured bacterium
Lineage: Bacteria
Description: bacterial SSU rRNA
Rfam family: Bacterial small subunit ribosomal RNA
Source: RNAcentral
GACGAACGCUGGCGGCGUGCUUAAUACAUGCAAGUCGAACGAUCCCGGGGCUUCGGCCCCAAUGGGAGAGUGGCGAACGGGUGAGUAUCACGUGAGAAACCUGCCCCGGAGAUCGGGAUAACCCAGAGAAAUUUGGGCUAAUACCGAAUACCCUGCGAGUGUCGCAUGGCACACGUAGGAAAGGUUCCGGCGCUCCGGGAGGGUCUCGCGGCCUAUCAGCUUGUUGGUGAGGUAACGGCUCACCAAGGCAUCGACGGGUAGCUGGUCUGAGAGGACGAUCAGCCACACUGGGACUGAGACACGGCCCAGACUCCUACGGGAGGCAGCAGUAGGGAAUCUUGCGCAAUGGGCGAAAGCCUGACGCAGCAACGCCGCGUGGGGGAAGAAGGCUCUCGGGUCGUAAACCCCUUUCAGCAGGGACGAAAAUGACGGUACCUGCAGAAGAAGGGCCGGCCAACUACGUG